Molecule: ribosomal RNA, 253 nt
Filed under: uncultured bacterium
Lineage: Bacteria
Description: partial 16S ribosomal RNA
Rfam family: Bacterial small subunit ribosomal RNA
Source: RNAcentral
UACGGAGGGUGCAAGCGUUGCUCGGAAUCAUUGGGCGUAAAGCGUACGCAGGCUGUUCGUUAAGUCGGGUGUGAAAUCCCGGGGCUCAACCCCGGAACUGCGCCCGAAACUGGCGAGCUUGAGUGCGGGAGAGGGAAGCGGAAUUCCUGGUGUAGAGGUGAAAUUCGUAGAUAUCAGGAGGAACACCGGUGGCGAAAGCGGCUUCCUGGCCCGACACUGACGCUCAUGUACGAAAGCGUGGGGAGCAAACAGG